GUGAACGCUUGCGGUAGGCCUAACACAUGCAAGGCGAACGGCAGCACAGUAAGAGCUUGCUCUUACGGGUGGCGAGUGGCGGACGGGUGAGGAAUACAUCGGAAUCUACUUUUGCGUGGGGGAUAACGAAGGGAAACUUACGCUAAUACCGCAUACGACCUACGGGUGAAAGCACGGGAUAUUCGGACCUUGCGCGAAUGAAUGAGCCGAUGUCGGAUUAGCUAGUGGGGGGGGGAAAGGCCAACGAAGGCGACGAUCCGUAGGUGGUCUGAGAGGAUGAUCACCCACACUGGAACUGGGACACGGUCCAGACUCCUACGGGAGGCCGCAGUGGGGAAUAUUGGACAGAGGGCGCAAGCCUGAUCCAGCCAUCCCGCGUGGGUGAAGAAGGCCUUCGGGUUGUAAAGCCCUUUUGUUGGGAAAGAAAAGCAGCCGGUUAAUACCCCGCUGUUCUGACGGUACCCAAAGAAUAAGCACCGGCUAACUUCGUG
This 491-nucleotide ribosomal RNA is filed under the name uncultured bacterium. RNAcentral describes it as "partial 16S ribosomal RNA". It matches the Rfam family "Bacterial small subunit ribosomal RNA", at positions 29 to 507 of the family's 1533-position model. The record is from RNAcentral.